AUUGAACGCUGGCGGCAUGCCUUACACAUGCAAGUCGAACGGCAGCAUGAAGAGCUUGCUCUCUGAUGGCGAGUGGCGAACGGGUGAGUAAUGCAUCGGAACGUACCGUGUAAUGGGGGAUAACGUAGCGAAAGUUACGCUAAUACCGCAUACGACCUGAGGGUGAAAGCAGGGGAUCGCAAGACCUUGCGUUAUACGAGCGGCCGAUGUCAGAUUAGCUAGUUGGUGAGGUAAAGGCUCACCAAGGCGACGAUCUGUAGCGGGUCUGAGAGGAUGAUCCGCCACACUGGGACUGAGACACGGCCCAGACUCCUACGGGAGGCAGCAGUGGGGAAUUUUGGACAAUGGGGGCAACCCUGAUCCAGCCAUGUCGCGUGAGUGAAGAAGGCCUUCGGGUUGUAAAGCUCUUUCGGCCGGGAAGAAAUCGCACAGGCUAAUACUCUGUGUGGAUGACGGUACCGGCAUAAGAAGCACCGGCUAACUACGUGCCAGCCGCCGCGGUAA
This 504-nucleotide ribosomal RNA is filed under the name uncultured bacterium. RNAcentral describes it as "partial 16S ribosomal RNA". It matches the Rfam family "Bacterial small subunit ribosomal RNA", at positions 30 to 523 of the family's 1533-position model. The record is from RNAcentral.